CCUGUUCCCAUCCCGAACACAGAAGUUAAGCCCUUCAGCGCUGAUGGUACUUGGCGGGAAGCUGCCUGGGAGAGUAGGACGUUGCGGUU
RNAcentral lists this ribosomal RNA (89 nucleotides) under Alkaliphilus peptidifermentans DSM 18978. The record is from RNAcentral. Lineage: Bacteria; Bacillati; Bacillota; Clostridia; Peptostreptococcales; Natronincolaceae.